GGCCAAAGGUUUACUGUGUAGGUACAAUCAUGUGGAGUCUAACGAAAUUAGAUUUUAUAUUUUAUGAUUUUUUUGUAAUUUACUAUAAUUUUCAAAUAUUUAGCCGAAAUAAAUAAAAAAUAAAAAGACAAAACCUUUAUAGCAAAAACUUUGUACUAAAGCAUACCAUAUUAUAUAUUCAUUGUGUAGAUCUACUUAUGCGGAGUUCAACAAAAUUAGAUUUUCUAUUUUAUAAAUUUUUUGUGAUUUAUUAUGAUUUUUCAAAGAUUCAGCCAAAAAAAUUAAAAAAGAAAAAGAAAAAACCACCGUCGUUGUAGCAAAACCACUAUUCACAGUAGCAAAACCACCUUUGAAACCACUCCAAAGAGAUAAAAUGCAUGAUUUAAAAAGUUAAGGGAGGUAAUUUGCUCGGUUUUAGAGUUGAGGAAGGAAAAACAGAUUUUCAUGAA
This 449-nucleotide long non-coding RNA is filed under the name Sorghum bicolor (sorghum). RNAcentral describes it as "long non-coding RNA (SBIC_LNC003630)". The record is from RNAcentral. Lineage: Eukaryota; Viridiplantae; Streptophyta; Magnoliopsida; Poales; Poaceae.